GUCGAACGGAGACUGUUCAUCGGAAGUUUUCGGAUGGAAGAAGGAUCGUUUUAGUGGCGGACGGGUGAGUAACACGUGAGCAACCUGCCUUUCAGAGGGGGAUAACAGUUGGAAACGACUGCUAAUACCGCAUGACAUUAGGGGAGGGCAUCCUCUUCUAAUCAAAGGAGCAAUCCGCUGAAAGAUGGGCUCGCGGCCGAUUAGCUAGAUGGCGGGGUAGAGGCCCACCAUGGCGACGAUCGGUAGCCGGACUGAGAGGUUGAACGGCCACAUUGGGACUGAGACACGGCCCAGACUCCUACGGGAGGCAGCAGUGGGGGAUAUUGCACAAUGGGCGAAAGCCUGAUGCAGCGACGCCGCGUGAGGGAAGACGGUCUUCGGAUUGUAAACCUCUGUCUUUGGGGAAGAAGAUGACGGUACCCAAAGAGGAAGCUCCGGCUAACUACGUGCCAGCAGCCGCGGUAAUACGUAGGGAGCGAGCGUUGUCCGGAAUUACUGGGUGUAAAGGGAGCGUAGGCGGGGAUGCAAGUUGGAUGUUUAAACUAUCGGCUCAACCGGUAAUUGCAACCAAAACUGCAACUCUUGAGUGAAGUAGAGGCAGGCGGAAUUCCUAGUGUAGCGGUGAAAUGCGUAGAUAUUAGGAGGAACACCAGUGGCGAAGGCGGCCUGCUGGGCUUUAACUGACGCUGAGGCUCGAAAG
This 700-nucleotide ribosomal RNA is filed under the name uncultured bacterium. Its description in RNAcentral is "bacterial SSU rRNA". It matches the Rfam family "Bacterial small subunit ribosomal RNA", at positions 61 to 759 of the family's 1533-position model. The record is from RNAcentral.